AGGUUAAGCAGUAAAUGUGGAGCCGUAGCGAAAGCGAGUCUGAAUAGGGCGUUUAGUAUUUGGUCGUAGACCCGAAACCAGGUGAUCUACCCUUGGUCAGGUUGAAGUUCAGGUAACACUGAAUGGAGGACCGAACCGACUUACGUUGAAAAGUGAGCGGAUGAACUGAGGGUAGCGGAGAAAUUCCAAUCGAACCUGGAGAUAGCUGGUUCUCUCCGAAAUAGCUUUAGGGCUAGCCUCAAGUGAUGAUUAUUGGAGGUAGAGCACUGUUUGGACGAGGGGCCCCUCUCGGGUUACCGAAUUCAGACAAACUCCGAAUGCCAAUUAAUUUAACUUGGGAGUCAGAACAUGGGUGAUAAGGUCCGUGUUCGAAAGGGAAACAGCCCAGACCACCAGCUAAGGUCCCAAAAUAUAUGUUAAGUGGAAAAGGAUGUGGCGUUGCCCAGACAACUAGGAUGUUGGCUUAGAAGCAGCCAUCAUUUAAAGAGUGCGUAAUAGCUCACUAGUCGAGUGACACUGCGCCGAAAAUGUACCGGGGCUAAACA
Molecule: ribosomal RNA, 545 nt
Filed under: Staphylococcus aureus
Lineage: Bacteria; Bacillati; Bacillota; Bacilli; Caryophanales; Staphylococcaceae
Description: partial 23S ribosomal RNA
Rfam family: Bacterial large subunit ribosomal RNA
Source: RNAcentral